Molecule: ribosomal RNA, 253 nt
Filed under: uncultured bacterium
Lineage: Bacteria
Description: partial 16S ribosomal RNA
Rfam family: Bacterial small subunit ribosomal RNA
Source: RNAcentral
UACGUAGGGGGCAAGCGUUGUCCGGAUUUAUUGGGCGUAAAGAGCGUGUAGGCGGCUUCACAGGUCCGCUGUGAAAACUCGAGGCUCAACCUCGAGAUGUCGGUGGAAACCGUGUGGCUAGAGUCCGGAAGAGGAAAGUGGAAUUCCUGGUGUAGCGGUGAAAUGCGUAGAUAUCAGGAGGAACACCGGUGGUGUAGACGGCUUUCUGGACCGUAACUGACGCUGAGACACGAAAGCGUGGGUAGCAAACAGG